Molecule: unclassified non-coding RNA, 304 nt
Filed under: Hevea brasiliensis (rubber tree)
Lineage: Eukaryota; Viridiplantae; Streptophyta; Magnoliopsida; Malpighiales; Euphorbiaceae
Source: RNAcentral
GUUUGCUUCCCAGCCUUCUUCUUCACCUGUAGCUUCUUCAACAAUGGAUUUUUUUGCUGCAUCAGAUCCUGUUGUUCAGCCUGAUGUCAGAUCUCCAAAACUAGUCCAGAUAAAUACUACUACGGUCGAUCCAUUUGCUACAGUUCCACUAAAUAACUUCGACAGUUCUGAUCCUUUUGGUGCAUUUGUUUCUCCUGCUGAUCCUAUAUCAGUACCCAAUGCAAGUGCCACCAGUGGUGGGAAUCAGCAGACUCCUACCAAAUUAGACAAAUCUCCUCUCGAAACAAAGCCCUCACCAAAGAAG